AUGGCACCAGAGGCCGUGGCCCUCAUCCUGGGUUGGUGGCUGUUGGCAGCGAGCAGAGCACAGCAACUGUCCGCCGUCCUAGUGCCCCGACCAUCCCUGUCACUGCACCCCAGCCAGGGGGUGUCCCUGGGGGACACUGUCACCCUGCGCUGCCACCUGCCCCAGCCAGCUGCCUGGGUCGAGCUGUACCAGGAUGGACAGUUGAGAUCCAGAAAGGAAAUGGACCAGGAGCAGGACGUGGCUGAGUUCUCCUUGACUGGAAUUAAGCAGGAAGAUGCAGUGAGAUAUCAGUGCCAGUACCAGGGGUUGGAGCCUGCAGGGACAUCAGAGAGGAGUGACCCCGUGAAGCUGGUGGUGACAGAUCACAGGUAUCCCCCACCUGGCAUUUCCCUGAGCCCCAAAGAGCAUGUGGAGAUUGGGAAGAAACAUCACCAUCCAGUGCUGGAACAAGAAGUAUGGGGCCUCCUUCCUCCUGCACAAGGACGGGCACUCAGCCCCUAUCCAGCACCAGGAACCCGAUGAUGAGGGCACUGCCACCUUCACCCUUUUUGGGGUGACCCCAGCUGACUUCCGGCAUCUAUAGGUGCUCCUACCGCCUCGGGGGGUGCUGCCUUCUGUUCUCAACCCCCUGGGGAUAAUGUGACCCUGGAAGUGAUUCCCAGACCUGCAAUCCCAGGUGACAAUGGGGGUCCCAGCAGGAACCUGGUGGCAGUAGUGGUGGGGCGCUGGGUUGCUGCCAUUGUCUUCAUCAUCAUCCUCACUGUCUCUGUCCUCCUCGUUGCCCAGAGAAGACAAAUGCAGAGAGAUGAGAGGCCUGGUGCCACCCCCUGAAGCCCCGAGGUCGUGCAAUUGCAGGUGUCCCCCGGUGACAGCGAGGGUCUGACCUACACCCAGCUGCAAGCUGUGACCCCCAGCACCCACCCCCCUGGCUCUUCUACCACUCCUGAAACCCCCAUUAUCUACGCCGUGGUGGGCACGCGGGGACCCCGCUGAUGCCCCCCAGAUGUGUACGCAAACACGGGUGUGUUGUGUGCACACAUGGACUUCAAGGGUGCACAGUGCCAGUGUGCUCGGUGUGCUCACCACCACCUGUGAAUUACAGCCUUGUACCUGUGCAUGUGAACGCGUGGAUGUGUAUUAAACGGGUGUGCACCAUCCCAUGUGCACAACAGGUGUACAAACACACGUGUGGGACACGCUGAACUCUGUGCCUCUGUGUGUGUCUGUGCGAUGCCGUAUGUGUGCACCACCAGCUGUACACACUGCUGCUCAUGUGUGUCCUUAGCAUGUGCUCCCUGGGUCUGCACUACACGUGUGCCUCCACAGCACAUGCAUGUCAUCAACACCUGCCCCGUUCCUGCACCACAUUUGUCCCCACAGCACACGCGUGUCCUUUCCAUGUGCUCCCCACGGCGCAUCUCCAUCUCCACAAGCCAAACCAGCCCCCAUCCCACAGUGGUGUUGGGGCAGGA
RNA transcript from Gallus gallus (chicken), 1472 nucleotides. It is a transcript of the gene named immunoglobulin superfamily member 1-like, with no coding region annotated. NCBI's taxonomy places the organism in Eukaryota, Metazoa, Chordata, Aves, Galliformes, Phasianidae. The record is from RefSeq and is a predicted model, not a curated record. The transcript is spliced from 7 exons.